UACAGAGGGUGCAAGCGUUAAUCGGAAUUACUGGGCGUAAAGGGUGCGUAGGUGGUUAGUUAAGUUGUAUGUGAAAUCCCCGGGCUUAACCUGGGAAUUGCGUAUAAAACUGAUUAACUAGAGUUCGGGAGAGGGAAGUGGAAUUUCCAGUGUAGCGGUGAAAUGCGUAGAUAUUGGAAGGAACACCAGUGGCGAAGGCGACUUCCUGGCCCGAUACUGACACUGAGGCACGAAAGCGUGGGGAGCGAACAGG
This 253-nucleotide ribosomal RNA is filed under the name uncultured bacterium. RNAcentral describes it as "partial 16S ribosomal RNA". It matches the Rfam family "Bacterial small subunit ribosomal RNA", at positions 524 to 776 of the family's 1533-position model. The record is from RNAcentral.